Molecule: ribosomal RNA, 497 nt
Filed under: uncultured bacterium
Lineage: Bacteria
Description: partial 16S ribosomal RNA
Rfam family: Bacterial small subunit ribosomal RNA
Source: RNAcentral
GAUGAACGCUGGCGGCGUGCCUAAUACAUGCAAGUCGAGCGAACGGACGAGAAGCUUGCUUCUCUGAUGUUAGCGGCGGACGGGUGAGUAACACGUGGAUAACCUACCUAUAAGACUGGGAUAACUUCGGGAAACCGGAGCUAAUACCGGAUGAUAUUUUGAACCGCAUGGUUCAAAAGUGAAAGACGGUCUUGCUGUCACUUAUAGAUGUAUCCGCGCUGCAUUAGCUAGUUGGUAAGGUAACGGCUUACCAAGGCAACGAUGCAUAGCCGACCUGAGAGGGUGAUCGGCCACACUGGAACUGAGACACGGUCCAGACUCCUACGGGAGGCAGCAGUAGGGAAUCUUCCGCAAUGGGCGAAAGCCUGACGGAGCAACGCCGAGUGAGUGAUGAAGGUCUUCGGAUCGUAAAACUCUGUUAUUAGGGAAGAACAUAUGUGUAAGUAACUGUGCACAUCUUGACGGUACCUAAUCAGAAAGCCCCGGCUAACUACGUG